RNAcentral lists this ribosomal RNA (465 nucleotides) under uncultured bacterium. RNAcentral describes it as "partial 16S ribosomal RNA". It matches the Rfam family "Bacterial small subunit ribosomal RNA", at positions 28 to 507 of the family's 1533-position model. The record is from RNAcentral.
GACGAACGCUGGCGGCGUGCUUAACACAUGCAAGUCGAACGGAAAGGCCCUGCUUGCAGGGUACUCGAGUGGCGAACGGGUGAGUAACACGUGGGUGAUCUGCCCUGCACUUCGGGAUAAGCCUGGGAAACUGGGUCUAAUACCGGAUAGGAGCCAUUUUUAGUGUGAUGGUUGGAAAGUUUUUUCGGUGUAGGAUGAGCUCGCGGCCUAUCAGCUUGUUGGUGGGGUAAUGGCCUACCAAGGCGGCGACGGGUAGCCGGCCUGAGAGGGUGGACGGCCGCCUUGGGACUGAGGUGCGGCCCCGGCUCCUACGGGUGGCAACUGUGGGGAAUCUUGCACCAUGGGCGCCAGCCUGAUGCAGCGACGCCGCGGGGGGGAUGACGGCCUUCGGGUUGUAAACGCCUUUCGCUAGGGACGAAGCUUUUUGUGACGGUACCUAGAGAAGAAGCACCGGCUAACUACGUG